RNAcentral lists this long non-coding RNA (654 nucleotides) under Homo sapiens (human). RNAcentral describes it as "HSALNT0054534". Lineage: Eukaryota; Metazoa; Chordata; Mammalia; Primates; Hominidae. The record is from RNAcentral.
CCCGGGCUUGUCCUCCCUGCGAGCGGCUCCUCCAAGGAGGUCUGUCGGCGUGUGCAAGCGCCCCGUGUUGGGACGGCCGCUCCUGGACCCUAGGACUCUGUGUGUCGGGUGUCGGAUUGGGUGGCAUGGGGGAGUACUUGCUGCAUUUGAUCCUCUACAACUGGUGUUGCUCCCGUUAUGCGGACAGAAGACAGCCCCAGGGAACAAAUGCUAGGAAAUGGCAGGGUGAGAAAACUGAGGCAUGGAGAGGUUACAAUAUAACUUAGAUCUCCCAGCUGGCAAGUAAUGGUUUAAGCCAGGAGCCUACACACUUCCUCCUACUUCCUCUAUGGGUGCUGGUGAUCUGCCGACUCCUAGACAUCCAGCUUUAAGGUCCUCAGUGAAGCUUCUCUGCCCCCAGGCCUGUCCAUGUCAGAGCACCAUGGGUGUCCCUUUGAAAGUAUCUCCUACAGGAUAAUCCCUCUCCUGCACCCCAGGGAUUGAACUUACUGCAAGAUUCCCCUGCCACUCCCUACCCAGAACAAUCACAAGAUGAAUCACAAGAAUACACAGCAGUGCCUUCCCAAAAGUCUCGCUCAUUUGGCCUCCAUCCUCUCACCAUGUACAGCCUCCCCUCUCCAGUAAGGACAGAGUGUGUGUGUGUGUGUGUGUGUG